AAUGCAAGUGUUUAACAGAUGCUUCACUAUUAAAAUAUUUUCCCCCCAAGUCUCAAAUAUUGAAGAAUCUCUAACCAGGCUCGAAACGCCGGUCUCAGUGACUAUUGAGUUACCCACCAAGUUACCCCGGUUAGAGCUGUUUGGGGUGGCUCACGUUAUUGCGGCAAACUUUGGAGAUGACGGCUGAGUCCUCUGGGCGAACAUGUCAAGCCGAUUGUAAAUGCUGUUAUUUCCACAUCCUUCAGGGACACCAGUCCCAACGAAGACCUUGGGCGAUUUCAAAGUGCGGGCACCUCGAUUCCCCGAAUCUGUAGUGUGGCUGGUAUCGGUGUUUCCCUGGUUUAACUAGCCUGCUUGAAGGCGCAGAUCAUUCAUGGGGAAGUAAAACCGAAACCAGUCCUCUCCACCCCCUGCGGGUCUUCACUUUCCCAGUCUACAUCUGCCUGUGACUCCAGAAAGACAAACUGCAGAUUGGCCAAGGUCCAGCCUAAAUGUUACCUCCUCCAGGGAGCCUUUCCAGAUACUGCUUCUCCUCUCUCCCCCAACUCCCUCCCACAAAUGAAGUAUUCUCUUCUGAAUUCCU
Molecule: non-coding RNA, 583 nt
Filed under: Pongo abelii (Sumatran orangutan)
Lineage: Eukaryota; Metazoa; Chordata; Mammalia; Primates; Hominidae
Source: RNAcentral